This 459-nucleotide ribosomal RNA is filed under the name uncultured bacterium. RNAcentral describes it as "partial 16S ribosomal RNA". It matches the Rfam family "Bacterial small subunit ribosomal RNA", at positions 338 to 795 of the family's 1533-position model. The record is from RNAcentral.
CCUACGAGAGGCAGCAGUGAGGAAUAUUGGUCACUGGCCGGAAGGCUGAACCAGCCAAGCCGCGUGAAGGACGCAGGUGCCAAGCAUUGUAAACUUCUUUUGUCAAGGGACAAAAUCAGGCUCGAGAGCCUGACCGAGGGUACUUGAAGAAAAAGCAUCGGCUAACUCCGUGCCAGCAGCCGCGGUAAUACGGAGGAUGCGAGCGUUAUCCGGAUUUAUUGGGUUGAAGGGGAGCGUAGGCGGACUGGUUAGUCAGCGGUAAAAUCCCGGGGCUCAACCCCGGCGAGCCGUUGAUACUGGCUGUCUUGAGAUGUCGAGAGGUAUGCGGAAUGCGCAGUGUAGCGGUGAAAUGCUUAGAUAUUGCGCAGAACUCCGAUUGCGAAGGCAGCAUACCGGCGGCGAUCUGACGCUGAGGCACGAAAGCGUGGGUAUCGAACAGGAUUAGAUACCCUGGUAGUC